This 126-nucleotide transfer RNA is filed under the name Gluconobacter sphaericus. RNAcentral describes it as "tRNA-Cys". Lineage: Bacteria; Pseudomonadati; Pseudomonadota; Alphaproteobacteria; Acetobacterales; Acetobacteraceae. The record is from RNAcentral.
GAGCGUGAUGUGCAACUUGCGUGGAUUUAGUCCAUUUCACUAUCUACAUUCAGCAGAAAACUCUCAUUUUUUUACACCCCUUUGACAUGGUAGGAGUCACAGGUUCGAUCCCUGUUACGCCCACCA